RNAcentral lists this ribosomal RNA (332 nucleotides) under uncultured bacterium. RNAcentral describes it as "bacterial SSU rRNA". It matches the Rfam family "Bacterial small subunit ribosomal RNA", at positions 568 to 898 of the family's 1533-position model. The record is from RNAcentral.
UGCGCAGGCGGCCGUGUGUGUGAGGCGUGAAAGCCCGAGGCUUAACCUCGGAAUUGCACCUCAAACUACACGGCUAGAGCAUUGGAGAGGGUAGCGGAAUUCACGGUGUAGCAGUGAAAUGCGUAGAUAUCGUGAGGAACACCAGAGGCGAAGGCGGCUACUUGGACAAUUGCUGACGCUCAGGCACGAAAGCGUGGGGAGCAAAAGGGAUUAGAUACCCCUGUAGUCCACGCCCUAAACGGUGCACACUAGGUCUUGGCGGAUUCGACCCCCCCAGGGCCCCAGCUAACGCGUUAAGUGUGCCGCCUGAGGACUACGGCCGCAAGGCUAAA